This 253-nucleotide ribosomal RNA is filed under the name uncultured bacterium. RNAcentral describes it as "partial 16S ribosomal RNA". It matches the Rfam family "Bacterial small subunit ribosomal RNA", at positions 524 to 776 of the family's 1533-position model. The record is from RNAcentral.
UACGAAGGGGGCGAGCGUUGUUCGGAUUUACUGGGCGUAAAGGGCGCGUAGGCGGCCCUGUUUGUCAGGCGUGAAAGCCCUGGGCUCAACCUGGGAACUGCGCUUGGUACGGCAAGGCUAGAGAUCGGGAGAGGAGAGUGGAAUUCGCAGUGUAGAGGUGAAAUUCGUAGAUAUUGGGAAGAACACCAGUGGCGAAGGCGGUUCUCUGGACCGACACUGACGCUGAGGCGCGAAAGCGUGGGGAGAAAACAGG